This is a non-coding RNA of Nerophis lumbriciformis (worm pipefish), 722 nucleotides long. The record is from RefSeq and is a predicted model, not a curated record. Lineage: Eukaryota; Metazoa; Chordata; Actinopteri; Syngnathiformes; Syngnathidae.
GGACGAUACAAAUGGCGACCAUGCGCCCAUGAAGUCAAUAGCGUGGUGUUCAUGAAGUUGACAUCCCUCUUCAACAUCAGUAGGUGAAGCUUGAAGAACAUUUUUCAGGAAUUUGGACGACUGCCUUCUGCAGCAUAUUUUGGACGUACAUUCUGAGCUCCAAAUUUUGGGAGGGCCUGCUGACGUCACCUACGGAAGACUGGAAGCAAUUUCAUACGAGCCGGAGUCACUGACACGCCGCCGACUGACUGCACACUCAAUUAGCCGUCAACCUUUCCCGGGCCGGCACAAGGAGAUGGGGGCGAGUUCAUCCAAGCGUUCCAACCUAUGGCAGCCAGAAGAGCUGGAAGCAAUACACAGACUUGAGGAUAGCUGGUGGAAUUCCAAGUUGUUCGACCACUAAACCGUGGGGGUCCUGAGGGUGAUGUUAACCUGCAUUCUUCAGUCAUUCGAAUCCAAAGAGAACACCAAAGGUAUGAAAAGUGAAGAAAGGAAGAAAUAAAUCCGGGCGAUGAUGAAUAAUUUGAAUGUGGAAAUGAAGCCGUUUGGAGAGAUACACCGCACAAGGAGCAGCCAUGGGAGAAUUCCUGAUUUCGCUGUGAAGUACGAGGGCGAGCCGAGGCAGGAAGCGGUACGGCUCAGGACCGAGCGCCGUCUCAUCAUUUAUGUAAAAAUGCCACUUUUUUUUUCUCCCCUCCCAAAUUAAAGGCAGACUAUUCUCU